This 392-nucleotide ribosomal RNA is filed under the name uncultured microorganism. RNAcentral describes it as "bacterial SSU rRNA". It matches the Rfam family "Archaeal small subunit ribosomal RNA", at positions 330 to 724 of the family's 1478-position model. The record is from RNAcentral.
GUGCACCAGGCGCGAAAACUUCACAAUGUGCGAAAGCACGAUGAGGGAAUCCCAAGUGCUUGCACGUAAGUGUAAGCUGUUUCUCUGUCUAAAACGCAGAGAGAGUAAGGGCUGGGUAAGACGGGUGCCAGCCGCCGCGGUAAUACCUGCAGCUCGAGUGGUGACCGUUAUUAUUGGGCCUAAAACGUCCGUAGCCGGUUUAAUAAAUGCCUGGGUAAAUCGGACCGCUUAACGGUUCGAAUUCCGGGUAGACUGUUAAACUUGAGACCGGGAGAAGUUAGAGGUACUCCUGGGGUAGAGGUGAAAUUCUGUAAUCCUAGGGGACCACCAGUGGCGAAGGCGUCUAACUAGAACGGGUCUGACGGUGAGGGACGAAGCCCUGGGGUGCAAAC